RNAcentral lists this ribosomal RNA (492 nucleotides) under Triticum aestivum (bread wheat). RNAcentral's name for it is "partial small subunit ribosomal RNA". The record is from RNAcentral. Lineage: Eukaryota; Viridiplantae; Streptophyta; Magnoliopsida; Poales; Poaceae.
AUGGCGGCCGAGGAAGGCGAGAAGAAGAUGAUCAUGCUCAAGAGCUCGGACAGCGAGGAAUUUCUUGUCGAGGAGGCGGUUGCCAUGGAGUCUCAAACCAUCUGCCACAUGAUCGAGGACGACUGCACCGACAAUGGCAUCCCGCUUCCCAACAUUGACUGCAAGAUCCUCUCCAAGGUCAUCGAGUACUGCAAGAAGCACGUCCAGGACGCCAGCUCCUCCACCUCUAAUGCAGCCACCGCCCCCGCCAAGGACCUCAAGAGCUUUGACACCGAGUUCGUCAAAGUCGACCAGGCCACUCUCUUCGACCUCAUCCUCGCUGCACACUACCUCAACAUCAAGGGAUUGCUCGACCUUACUUGCCAAACUGUUGCCGACAUGAUCAAGGGAAAGACCCCCGAGGAGAUCUGCAAGACUUUCAACAUCAAGAAUGACUUCACACCCGAGGAGGAGGCCGAGAUCCGCAGGGAGAACCAGUGGGCUUUUGAGUAG